CCCUUAGAUGUUCUGGGCCGCACGCGUGCUACACUGAGUGGAUCAGCGGGUCAGGUUGCGCGAAAGCGUUUCCUAAUCUUUAAAUCCGCUCGUGAUGGGGAUUGACGGUUGCAAUUUUCUGUCAUGAACGAGGAAUACCUUGUAAGCGCGGGUCAUCAUCCCGCGCUGAAUACGUCCCUGCCCUUUGUACACACCGCCCGUCGCUCCUACCGAUUGAGUGGUCCGGUGAAUACUUCGGAGUGUGAACUCUACAGUUUCUGUUUUGUUCGCGCAAAGUUGAAUAAACCUUAUCACUUAGAGGAAGGAGAAGUCGUAACA
RNAcentral lists this ribosomal RNA (318 nucleotides) under uncultured eukaryote. RNAcentral describes it as "partial 18S ribosomal RNA". It matches the Rfam family "Eukaryotic small subunit ribosomal RNA", at positions 1470 to 1796 of the family's 1831-position model. The record is from RNAcentral.